RNAcentral lists this ribosomal RNA (534 nucleotides) under Escherichia coli. RNAcentral describes it as "bacterial LSU rRNA". It matches the Rfam family "Bacterial large subunit ribosomal RNA", at positions 1 to 565 of the family's 2925-position model. The record is from RNAcentral. Lineage: Bacteria; Pseudomonadati; Pseudomonadota; Gammaproteobacteria; Enterobacterales; Enterobacteriaceae.
GGGUUGUGAGGUUAAGCGACUAAGCGUACACGGUGGAUGCCCUGGCAGUCAGAGGCGAUGAAGGACGUGCUAAUCUGCGAUAAGCGUCGGUAAGGUGAUAUGAACCGUUAUAACCGGCGAUUUCCGAAUGGGGAAACCCAGUGUGUUUCGACACACUAUCAUUAACUGAAUCCAUAGGUUAAUGAGGCGAACCGGGGGAACUGAAACAUCUAAGUACCCCGAGGAAAAGAAAUCAACCGAGAUUCCCCCAGUAGCGGCGAGCGAACGGGGAGGAGCCCAGAGCCUGAAUCAGUGUGUGUGUUAGUGGAAGCGUCUGGAAAGGCGCGCGAUACAGGGUGACAGCCCCGUACACAAAAAUGCACAUACUGUGAGCUCGAUGAGUAGGGCGGGACACGUGGUAUCCUGUCUGAAUAUGGGGGGACCAUCCUCCAAGGCUAAAUACUCCUGACUGACCGAUAGUGAACCAGUACCGUGAGGGAAAGGCGAAAAGAACCCCGGCGAGGGGAGUGAAAAAGAACCUGAAACCGUGUACGU